This 77-nucleotide transfer RNA is filed under the name Candidatus Phytoplasma mali. RNAcentral describes it as "tRNA-Ile". Lineage: Bacteria; Bacillati; Mycoplasmatota; Mollicutes; Acholeplasmatales; Acholeplasmataceae. The record is from RNAcentral.
ACCAACUAACUAAUGUGCCGCAAGCCCAUCUCUUAGCAUACCCUUGCGGGUCUUUUAAAAGUUUCAAGAUGCCUUAA